UCUAAAAACGCUAAAUGAUAACGUAUGCCAUUUGAUCUGUUGCACUAGUUUUGUAGUAAUGCCGGCUUUUACCUUGAGUCCCUAUUUUCAGGUGUGCCAAAAUGGACGAUAUCAUGAUAUAGUGAUCAACCGUAAUAUGUACCUUGAAACCGACACCACCCGAUUCGACAAAUGGGGCAGUACGUUUGACAGCACUAUCAUAGUAGCGUACGACUCGGAUUGCACUAUGUCGACAAAGAUGUGUCUGUCUUUCAAGACCUAUGGCUUCACGGGCGGCUACGUCAUCUUUGACGUCCACUUCCAUUACCUGUGUUCAGCACCGCCAGCAUUCGUAGAUUCCAAGGGUGACUUUGGCGUUGUGAAGGGGGCGAAGGUUAAUAUGCAAAAGAACUACGCCAUGUUAGAUUGCGAGAAGCUCUGCUGAUAAGCUCAUGGGCAAAUAAUGUGAUUAUCAUUUGUAUGCGGAUUAUUGUUUACAUGGCCGUGAAGCAAUCUGAUGUGAUAUGAUGUGAUUCCAACCAUGACUCCUGCCAGCAGUAUUCCUGCCGUGUUAGACAGCGUAGGGGCUGUGUUAUGCUGCCUCUCGUGAUGGCUGAGCCAAAGUCAUAAGUAUGGACUCUAAUAUAAAGCUAUGAGAAGUGUCGCCUUUGCAUUUGCGUUAUGAGUACGGCCAGGCGGAUAUCCUCUCGUAGACAGUACGUAUAUUGCAAUACUGUUGGGCAAAGGCCGUUCUAUCCUAAAAAUCGUGAACCCGAAUUUUGCUAUGGAAAUGAAUGAGCCAGGGAAUGAAUGGACCAUGGUAGGUUUCACUUUAUAUCCUGGUGGGGUUAAAAGAUCCAAAAUUAAUUCGGAUAGACAAUCCCGUAUUGAAGGUGAUUCGCUUCGGUAUUCAAAAGGAGGUGAAAAUUCGCAUAUAUGCGAUGCUGCACCCAAAUCAUGAUGUCACAUAAAAUGAGAAAGCCCAUGCCCAUGCCCAAGCCCAAAGCGGAGUGGGGCAGUAACGACAUUUUAUAGUUUUCGGUAUCGACCAAGCGGUCGACACUUCCGCGAACAGAGGUUUCUCCUUUCUGCCCUUUCAGACGAAGAGAUUUUCUCCUGGCCGAUACAGUGAACUUCACUCUAUACAGGGUGUUUCACGAAAAUCCCCCGGCUGGAUAAUUCGUGAACAGGUGGCGUUAUCGAAGAAAUUUCUUUUUGGUAAAUUUCCUUACGGCAUCGGCUAUGAACUGAGUAGUGAGCGGGUCAUUUGCAUACGCCCAUUAAUUAAAUUUUCACUUCGCACGCUUACGGAACCGCUAUUUUACGUAUCGGGAAAUAUUACAACAAAAAAGCCCCGUCGACACUUGUUGAUUUUUCGAUUAAUUCAUUGGUUUCGGUUUACAUAUUCCUUGCGUGGAGCAGCGUACCAAUGCGCUCUUUGGAUCAGCUAUCCGGCUCUCAAUUUCAUAUUCAUCCGCCUGUUUGACACACGGGGGUGACGAAAGAUGUGGUGUUCCUUCUCUAUACUCUUGAAAAUGAACUUCACCACAUAGCACAAUCCUAGCCAACUAUCAUCCCGGAUGACAACGUUCUCUCCCAUGAUAUGAUGAAUAUGAGGGGGGGAGGGGGGGCGAGUAUUUUUUCUUCCCUUUCUUGUUUCUGUACAAAUGAUGCUGUACAUAAGGAAAACAAAUGUUUUGUUUAUUGCCUGCCCUUCUGUACAAAUCGUUGUCAUUCAGGACGAUAGUUGGCGAGAGGCAUGCUAUCUGGUGCAGUUUCCAAGUAGUUCACAGUGCUCGCGGGGCAUUCGUCAUAGUCAAUGAUAAGAGCACGUUAUCUCAGACACACAAGGACAGACCCGCCAGUGCUGUUCAGCAGUCUCUUUAACGAGGAAUACCGAAGCCUCUUGCGGCCUUUCCUGCGGAUAAACACGAAAUUGACAGUCUGAUAGCUGAUUCAAAGAGCGUACUGGUGCGCUGCUCCGCGCAAUAAAUAUGUAAACCGAAACCAAUUAAUUGCUUCAAAAUAUUUUUCACUGAAGGUCCCGAUGCGUAAAACAAGGUGUGGCGGCACGUGGACGACGAUGAAGACGUGCCUCUGCUGGCGCGCGGCUCUGCGCCUGCCAGCCUGUUCUACCGGCACCGUCCUAGCGUGAGGCCACGUCCACACGUCCACGGGUGUGCCGGAGGUAGUGCUGCUCGAUGGUGUCGUCACAAAUUUGGGAUGGUGAAGGGCCGAAUUGCUUCGGACGUGAUGUGCUUCGGCGGGUCACCAAAUGUAGAGGACGGUGGUCUUCUUCUACAUGAGUUCCACCGGCGCGGCCAUGGAGAUAGGUCACCGUCAUCGCCUCUCCGUGGCAUACCAUCAUCGCCGGUCGGGACUCAUGUAGAGGAAGACCACCGUCCUCUACAAAGGGUUCCGUAAGCGUGCGAAGUUAUGAUGUUUAUUUCAUUAAUGAGCGUAUGUAAAUCAGCCGCUCACUACUCAGUUCAUAGCCGAUGUCCCACGGGUCUUUACCGAAUUAUUCAGCCAAGGGAUUUUCGUGAAACACCCUGUAGACAUGUAGACUGGGGGCAGGUAGGCUGUCUGUGUGGUGAAAUAAGGCCGGUCUAAAGUGUGUGUUCCAUCUCAACUUUGGCAAGGUGGUCAGGACACCAUCAGAGGUUUUUAUUGAAAAAUAAACUAUAUAUGUUGUAGCCUGA
This is a long non-coding RNA of Ornithodoros turicata, 2681 nucleotides long. RefSeq lists it as uncharacterized. The record is from RefSeq and is a predicted model, not a curated record. Lineage: Eukaryota; Metazoa; Arthropoda; Arachnida; Ixodida; Argasidae. The transcript has 2 exons.